RNAcentral lists this long non-coding RNA (4065 nucleotides) under Olea europaea subsp. europaea. The record is from RNAcentral. Lineage: Eukaryota; Viridiplantae; Streptophyta; Magnoliopsida; Lamiales; Oleaceae.
CUUACUCUGUCCUCCAUUAGCCACGCCGAAACCCCUAAUUUCCAACCCUCGAGGUUCGACAAUGGGGGAAGGGGGUGACGCCUUACAAAAGGCUCACCGAUGCUGAGCUCCAAUUAAAAAGAGAAAAGGGAUUGUGCUACAAAUGCGACGAGAAGUUCCGCCACGUCACAGAUGUCGCUACAAGGAACUGCAGGUCCUUGUUGUUCAAGAGGAGGAUGAGGUGGAAGCACCGCCGGAUUCGGUGGGCGAGGAAGGGGGAAAUGAAGUACAGGAGGUGGUGGAACUUUCACUAAACUCGGUGCUCGGGCUGACAAAUCCAAAAACGAUAAAGGUUACUGGGUCGCUGAGGGGUUAUUCUGUGGUGGUGUUAAUUGAUUGUGGGGCUACCCACAAUUUCAUCUCCUUAGAGUUGGUAAGAAAGUUGUGCAUUACGAUUACAGAUACUAGCCGGUAUGGUGUUACGGUGGGAAUCGGUUCAUUGGUCAGGGGAGUGGGCAUUUGUAAAGGAAUAGUCAUAGCCCUGCCAAACAUUGAGAUUGUGGAUGAUUUUCUCCCUUUGACAUUGGGAUGCACCGACUUAAUAUUGGGUAUAAAGUGGCUAGGUACAUUGGGGAAAAUGCAAGUGCAUUGGGGACUCCUGAUUAUGAAAUUUAAGGUUGAUGGGAAUUCGGUAACGCUACAAAGAGAAACUAACUUACAGAAUACUCAGGUUUCUAUCAAGUCGAUGGUCUGUAACUUUAGGGAGGGGGACCAAGGGGUGCUAUUGGAGCUAGGUAGCCUGAGCUUGGAAGGUGAGGAAAAGGUGAUAAGGGGAGCUUAUCGAAGUGUUGCAGCGAUAUUAUAAAGUCUUUGAGUGGUCCAACGAGUUGUCCCCACCACGUUCUCACGAUCAUGGAAUUGUGCUCCAAGUAGGGGCAGCCCCUGUAAACGUGAGGCCAUAUCGUUACUCGAAUUUUCAAAAGAAUGAGAUCGAGAAAUUGGUGCGGAAUAUGUUGGAGGCUGGGAUAAUCCAACCUAGUUGUAGCCCGUUUUCAAGUCCUGUUUUGUUAGUGAAAAAGAAGGAUGGGAGUUGGCAUUUUUGUGUGGACUAUCGGGCAUUAAACAAAGUUAUAGAACCAGAUAGAUUUCCUAUACCAGUGAUUGAUGAAUUGUUGGAUGAGCUUCAUGGGGCAACCAUCUUUUCAAAGUUGGACCUUAAAUCGGGUUACCAUCAGAUAAGAAUGAAACCAGAUGAUGUGCCAAGACAGCUUUUCGAACUCAUGAGGGCCAUUACGAAUUCUUGGUUAUGCCGUUUGGGCUGACAAAUGUGCCGGCAACAUUUCAAAGCUUAACGAAUGAAGUAUUUCGCCCUUAUCUUAGAAAGUUUGUUCUGGUCUUUUUUGAUGACAUACUAGUGUACAGUACUUCGUUGGGAAAGCAUUAAGAACAUCUGGGCAUUGUCUUAGGGUGUUUACAGCAGCAUAAGUUAUAUGCAAAUGAGAAGAAGUGCACAUUUGGACAGCCUCAACUGGAGUAUUUAGGCCACAUUAUAUCAGGACAAGGAGUGUCAGUUGAUAAGUCUAAGAUCGAAGCGAUGUGCAGUUGGCCUUUACCUCGGAAUCUUCGAGAACUAUGUGGAUCUUUGGGACUCACCGGCUACUAUCGACAUUUUGUAAAAGGGUAUGCGAGGAUUGCUUGGCCACUAACCAAAUUGUUGAAAAAAGAUGGGUUCAACUGGAGUGAGGCGGCAGAAGAUGCUUUUUCCAAAUUAAAGACAGCAAUGACUGAGGUGCCUGUUCUCGCCUUACCCGACUUCUCACAAGUGUUUAUGGUUGAAACGGAUGCAUCGGGCCAUAGAUUGGGGGCUGUUUUAAUGCAAAGAUAGCAUCCCAUUGCCUAUUUCAGUCGGGUACUACCUCCGAAUGCUAGGCGCAAGUCAUUUUAUGAGCGUAAAUUAAUGGCCAUUGUGUUCUCCGUUCAAAAGUGGUGGCACUAUCUACUGGGCAGACACUUUAUAGUAAGAACGGAUCAGCAAAGUUUGAAAUUCCUGUUGGAACAGUGCCUGGUUUGUGAAGAACAUCAGAAAUGGUUAUCCAAACUUCUUGGCUUCGACUUCGAAAUUCAGUUCCAACCUAGUCUAGAAAAUAAAGCUGUGGAUGCCUUUUCAAGAAUGGGGCCGACAGUAAGCUUUUUGGAGGUUUCAUGCCCCUGGGUGUUAGAAUUGGACGAGGUCAGAUUGGCUGUGGCAAGGGAUAGGGAGUUAAGCAAAAUUGUGGCCAAUAUCCAAUCAGGAAGUGAGGAGAAAUCGGGCUGCUCGGUUGUGGAAGGAAUUUUGCAUUACAAGGGCAUAUUAGUGUUACCAAAACCGUCUCAAUUCAUUGAGAUGGUCCUCCAGGAAUAUCAUAACACUAGAAUUGGCGGUUACUUGGGAUUUCUCAAAACUUACAAACGAAUUGCACGAGAAGUGUACUGGAAGGGGAUUAAAAAAGAUGUCAGGGAAUUUGUAGGCAGCUGCAGUGUGUGUCAACAGAAUAAAUAUAUGUCCUUGUCACCUCAGGGACUCUUGCAACCGCUGCCAAUUUUGGAGCGAGUGUGGGCUAACAUUUCCCUAGAUUUCAUCGAAGGGUUGCCUAAGUCUGAAGGGUGGGACACUAUUCUAGUAGUAGUCGAUUGACUUAGCAAAUAUGGGCACUUCAUCGGGCUAAAACAUCCCUUCACGGCACCUCUGGUAGCUAAGGUCUUUAUACGAGAAGUCGUCAGAUUACACGGGAUUCCACAGUCUAUUGUGUCAGACAGGGACCGCGUUUUCAUGAGUAAAUUUUGGGAGGAGCUUUUCCGAGCCCAAGGAACUGUCCUUAAGAGGAGUACAACAUACCAUCCACAAACGGACGGCCAAACAGAGGUCGUCAAUCAAUGUUUAGAGACGAGCUUGUGCUGUUUUGCCUCUACUAAACCACGCAUUUGGGGACAGUGGUUACCAUGAGCCGAACUCUGGUAUAAUACCUCAUUCAACACUACCACCAAGCAUACACUUUUUCAAAUUGUGUAUGGUUGUGAUCCCCUACCAGUUUUGCCUUUUGAGAAAGGGGUGAUAGUAGUUUCUUCAGUGGAACUAUCCUUAGUAAGCAGGGAUGAGGUCCUCCAGCACCUCAAGAUGCAACUUUUGCGUCCCCAACAAUGAAUGAAGCAAGAGGCAGAUGGGCAUCGACGUGAUCUAUAGUUGGAAGUAGGAGACUUAGUGUAUUUGAAAUUGCAACCUUACCACCAAAAGUCUGUAGCUCAGCGUUCAUCAUAAAAACUCUCUCCCAGAUAUUAUGGACCUUUUGAAGUUCUGGCUAGAGUGGGGCAGGUUGCCUACAAGUUUAAACUUCCCUCGGAAACUGCUGUUCAACUAGUUUUUCAUGUGUUGCAAUUCCAGAAGGUGGUAGGAAAUGAUCAUACUGUAUCACAACUACCAGAACAUCUUGCUGAGGAAGCUCAGUACAAGGUGGAACCAGAGGAGGUGUUAUAGUACCGUUCUAAUUUAGAAAGUUCAACCUUGAGAAUUGAAGUUUUAAUUAGAUGGAAGAAUUAUCCAGAUUACGAAGCCACUUGGAAAUCUGUAGAAAACAUUAACUAGCAAUUUCCCGACUUCCACCUUGAGGACAAGGUGGAUUUCCAGGGGGGUGGGGGAGAUAAUGAUAGGCCCCAGUGAUAUUUACGUACGCAAGAAAGAGUAAGGUGACAGCUAAGUUAGCAAAAUGACAGAAUCAAUUCAGCAUGCAUGCAGUUUGUUAUUUAGUUAGGCCGUUACGGGGUGAGGGAUAGAGAGUUAGUUGAGAAAAUGUUAAUAAAUGUAAUGGGAAAAAGGGGGUAAGGGCAGGAAAAUAGUAAGAGUCUAGUAGGAGAGUACAAAGCCUCUCAAAAGCUCUGGGUUGUUUUGGAGUAUUUCCUUAUGUUCAUCUCAAUAAAAUCGUUAAUUUCCAUUUCAGAUUUCUUUUCGGUUCUAAACCAACCAGCUUAAACAGUUCAAGUUCCUAUCAAUUUUGGUAUCAGAGCAGACCCACGUCACAAGUUCGAAUCCCAGGAAAGGCGGCCCAAGCAAAG